RNAcentral lists this small nuclear RNA (23 nucleotides) under Arabidopsis thaliana (thale cress). RNAcentral describes it as "snRNA_10559". Lineage: Eukaryota; Viridiplantae; Streptophyta; Magnoliopsida; Brassicales; Brassicaceae. The record is from RNAcentral.
AUCCGGUCAGUUUUGGUAGGAAC